Molecule: unclassified non-coding RNA, 179 nt
Filed under: uncultured Basidiomycota
Lineage: Eukaryota; Fungi; Basidiomycota
Description: sequence contains ITS1
Source: RNAcentral
CUGAAGGAUAUAGGGUUUUGAGACUGCAUCUUUACUGAUGUGUGCUCGGCCCUCACACUUCGUGUUCCACACACACACCUUUGUGCACCAUGGGAAAUCGUAAUGAAUUCCCCUUUUCCACAUAGAAACCAAGUUAUAUGCAUGUUGUUAUGUACACUCUACGGAGUAAAUAUAAUGUA